Molecule: long non-coding RNA, 979 nt
Organism: Aplysia californica (California sea hare)
Lineage: Eukaryota; Metazoa; Mollusca; Gastropoda; Aplysiida; Aplysiidae
Exons: 3
Source: RefSeq, a predicted model, not a curated record
AAAAAAACAACUUUAUGGAAUUCAAAGAAUUAGUGCUCUACUACAGGAAAGUGUCAGGGUACAAAGCAAGAGGAAAACCAAGACAGACCUGGAUCCAGGAUGUGAAGGAUACCCUGAGAACAUUCAAUAUCCCACCAAGCCAGGCCAUCAAACUUGCUAGAGACAGGAAGCUCUUUUUCCUCUCGACGCCCAAGAGGUACAUGAGGACGGAUACAGUAAAGUAAAAUCAUUUUGAAGGCGGGUUGCUGUGACCCUGCCUGCCAGACCAAUCCGAGCUGAGAGGGAUACAACGUCCCAGCAGACAGGCUGAUAUAUUCGAUAAGGAAACUCCCCACAUGGAAAUGGAAAUCACGCCCUCUGCGUGCGUCGGCGCAGUGUCUAACUGCUACACCACAGACGCUGAUGUAAAGAUGCACACUACUAUAGGCACUAGAUACAGUGCGCCCCUCUCUCGCCUUGAUGCGCUAUGGCCACAUUCGACAGCGGCUUUCCCCGUGCUUUUUGUGGCAAGCUGUGUGAAGGAGUUCAUGCUAAAGCAAUGGGCCAGGCCAUUGACGAUGUAAUGAAGGAAAACAGAAAUCACCGAACUGUAUGACAGAAGCAGUGUUGAGUUGUUAAAAUCCAUUUGUGCAAAAGAAAAAGAUAGCAAGCUCAGCACUAAUCGCAGUCUGGCUAUGGUUUCCUUUGUCACUAAUAUAUCCUAUACAUUACAUCAUACAUUUUAGACACGAUGAAGGUUACAAUAGCAGCCUAUCUUUGGUUGCUCCCAUCCAUCAUCAUCCAAUAAAAAUAUCAUUGCUGAUACUUUUAUAUUAAUAUGAUUGUUCUUGUUUAAUAUCCUAAAUCAGUGAGUCAAGUGAGUGAAACUAGUACCUCAGAUUAGUAGAUCUAGCUUGAAUCUUGUGAUGCUAAAAAUAAGUAAUUAAAUACAAAAGCGAGGCAAAAUUGCAGAGCUUUGAUCUUAUAUUAAUUAACUGAA